Molecule: long non-coding RNA, 1804 nt
Organism: Onychostoma macrolepis
Lineage: Eukaryota; Metazoa; Chordata; Actinopteri; Cypriniformes; Cyprinidae
Exons: 4
Source: RefSeq, a predicted model, not a curated record
AAGAAUUGACAGAGCAGCCGUCAAGUGUUAGAUAAUGUUCUAAGAUAUUACAUGUGGUGUUUUUAGGUCCGAUAAUUAACACCUCUGUUUUUUUCAGAAUUUAGCAGUAAAAAAUUACUCGUCAUCCAGUUUUUUAUAUCGACUAUGCAUUCCGUUAGUUUCUCAAUUUGGUGUGUUUCACCAGGCCGCGAAGAAAUAUAGAGCUGAGUAUCAUCAGCAUAACAGUGAAAGCUAACACCAUGUCUCUUGAUAAUAUCUCCCAAGGGUAACAUGUAAAGCGUGAAAAGUAACGGCCUAGUACUGAGCCUUGAGGUACUCCAUACUGCACUUGUGAUCGAUAUGAUACCUCUUCAUUCACUGCUACGAACUGAUGGCGGUCAGAUAAUUGUGACUUUAAUGGUACUAAAACAUCUAACCUGGAGUGGUCAACAUCAGUCCUGCAGAGUUCAGCUCCAACCCUAAUCAAACACACCUGAACCAACUGAUCAAGGUCUAAGGGCUUCUAAAAAGCUACAGGUGAGUUUUUGUGUGUGUGACCCGGAUGUUAAGAGCUGCAUCAAGAGAAAUCAUCCCAAAGGAGAGUAUUCCUUGUCUAUUGUGAAUGUAUAUUUUCAUAACUGUUUCAGUUUAUCACUAUAGUAUUUUUUUCUUUCUCUAUUUCAGUUAAGACUUAAUGCUGGCAUAUUCUGAAAGAACUUGAUUCUUGUUUUCUUCAAAAAACGAUCUGUGAGCUUGAGGAUUAAAAGCUCAUUGCUCGUGUUUCAUUGUUGCUGGAAAUGGGUGUCUUCCCCACCGCUAGGGGUGCUAUGGCGCCUAAAUGAGCUCCGUCAGUAGAGGAAGUUAGCAGAACGGCAGCAGUAGAAAGCAUGGCUUGACUGCAUGUGUGCGAUGUCCUUGUUGGGAAAUGUUCCAUUUCAAGCUGAACUUAAAAAGGACCCUUUAUUGGUGACUAACCACAUGUUACGAGCUAAAAAUGGAUGUAAUGCCCAGAUGGAUGUAAGCUUGUAGCUUCUGUCUUACUUAUGGCAGUACCUGAUUUGGAAAGGUCUGGGGCUUGGGAACUGUUAUCGUUUGGAGUGAAGUCAUCGCAAAUAGUUGGAGUAUUCAUCGUCUGAGGGACAGCUUCAACUUUGGGCAUAAUUUGAUAAACUAUAUCUCAUCAAAUAAGACUCGCCCACGCAUCCAUUUGCACAUUAAUAAACUGUGCAACCUAAUAUCUAUUUCCUGUUAUGGAUUCGUACAUGACAUUAUUUGUAUAAUGUGAUUGUUUUUUUUGUUUUUUUUUUUGUUUGUUUUUUCAUGGCUAUAUAAAAAGAAUGUGCAUAUAUUUGGCAAGCAUCUUCCCUUCUUAAAGGGGAAUUUAGUUUGCCUAACAGUAGUUUAAGUUGUAUAACUAGUUUUGUGUUAGAAAAACAUGAGGCGGUUAUAAUAUGCAGAAAUUGUCCUUCUUAAAAUGUCAUCUCAAUCUCAGCAGUCCCUCUUUCCAAAACCUGGCAAGGUAAGAGUCCUCCAAAGAUUUGACUAAACCUCCCUUACAAUGUUUACAGCAUUGUGUUCAAAAUGGUGACUUUACUUGGUCAACAGCUUACAAUGCCUCUAAGCUCAGGUUUCAGAUAAAAGGGGUGCCCCAAACCUAGUGACAAGAGUUUGAGAUCUGUCUAGCAAUGUGUGCACUAAAGAGUUUCAGGGUUCAUUCAUGGCUGCAUUGAUAACUGCUUGUUAAUGUCAAUUUAACUCUUGUGACCAUGUGUUUGAGUUUUGAAUUGAUGUACUCCACAUAUCUGCAUAUUUAAUUAAAUUUAAA